CUCAAACCCAUUUAGCGAAAACUCAAACCUCACGAUAUUUUAUAGUUUAAAAAAAUAUGUUAUAAAAAAUAUUAAUAUGGACAUUAUAUAAUAUAUUGUCUUGUAAAUAUCCCUUCAUAUAAUGGAAGAUUGUAUUUUGUAUUACAAAGCGAACUCGCGACAGAAGUUCUUGAUGAGGCAUUGCGAAUAAUUGCAUACUUGCAACACACCAUAUGGCUUGGUAAAAUUAAUGACAGUUAUUAACAACUUAUAGCGACUCUUACUAUAGCGUAGCUGACACUUUCCGACUUUUCGAUACGAAAAUGUUGUAAUUAUGGUGUAAUCUUGCCAUUUGAUAUGGAAUUGAGGAAGAAUAAUAUUUCAAGACGUUGCAGUGGGCCCUCCCUUAGGAAAUAUGUCGUGCUUUCAAGAACAUGUGUAAUUCUGCUGCUUUCGUCGAACAAGUGGGUCCUUUACGCCAGUUAAGAUUUUCAAGCUGUAAUGGUGCCAUAAAAAAUCUGAAAGAAUUCAGUGACUUAAGAACCCCUCGAUAAAAAGUGAUUUGGAUCGACAGGAAUUAAGAGGAUUAUAUGUCAAUAAUAGCAAAGCAGAGACCACUUUGAACGAUGACUCAUAUCGAGCUAAAAAAAGCUAAAGUUAUUAAAAACCAGAUGUUCAUGGAGGUCACUUGAGAUCAUCAGGUGACUACGAACGGAUCACAUACCAACGAGUUUGUGCCAAUAAUAUCUGCAGUAAAUGUUUGGAGAUCUAUUCUUUGCAAAGAGUUCGAUGCGUCAACAUUUAUCGGGUUUGUUUAUAGACUUGACUGAAAAAUGAAUUGAAGGAAGAACUGAAACAGAAGUUUUUAUUACAGUGCAGUGCCCGCAGUGACGAAUCUGUUGAUGAAUUCUUGCCAUAACGUGAUGCAGUCGAAGAAAAUAUCGUCGCAUAGAAUUAAACUUCCUUUUUUCCCGAAUUGAUCGAUGUAAUAACAGUUCGUAAAUAUGGAGAACGAAGCAAAAUGAAAUUCAGUUAAAAGUGUUAAAUUUAGACGUUUCUCUUUGUGCAUUACUGUGUUAUUGUAUAUAUUGAACAAGAGGAUAUAACACAAUGGAAUUUCAGGAAAAAUCUGCUUUUGCUCAAGAAAAUCCAAUUUAUGAUGCCAUCCCUUUAAUUAUUAUUGAUAAAACGGGAAGGAAAUAUCCCAAAGACGAGGCAGAAAAUCUAAGAAAACAUUACGUUUCUAGUCCAUUUUGGAUGAAAUUUCGUUUACUAUUAUUUUGGAUAAUGUGGGUUGUAUUGAUAAUGGCGAUGAUAAUCUCUUUUCUUACAUACUUUUGCUUUACACCCCGAAUGUGCCAUAGUUCAAAUACACAUAAGAAUAUACACAAAUAAUAAAUACAUCGUCUCAUAAGAUGCAAUGGAAACGCAAUGGCGCAUGAUAAUAAUUUAGAUUAUUAUAUGUUUGUAUUGUAUAUUCAUGGUUCAAGUAAUAAUAUUAGUCAAUGGUAUUAAAAUUAUUAAUAAUAUGACAAUUGAAGAAUAUCAACGCUUAGCUAGUAGAAAAGUGUUUGAAAGAAAUUAAAUUGUUGUACACUUUCAUUAUACCUUUAUUACUAUAGCGCAAUUUUACAGCAUAAAAAAUUCA
Temnothorax curvispinosus is the source of this 1627-nucleotide long non-coding RNA. RefSeq lists it as uncharacterized. The record is from RefSeq and is a predicted model, not a curated record. The transcript has 6 exons. Lineage: Eukaryota; Metazoa; Arthropoda; Insecta; Hymenoptera; Formicidae.